This 215-nucleotide ribosomal RNA is filed under the name Herpotrichiellaceae sp. RNAcentral's name for it is "partial large subunit ribosomal RNA". The record is from RNAcentral. Lineage: Eukaryota; Fungi; Ascomycota; Eurotiomycetes; Chaetothyriales; Herpotrichiellaceae.
AAGCGCUGGCAAUCAGACUUGUGUUUCGGGGUUCCCCCUUGCUUCUGCUUGGGUUACUCCCCGUUAUCCAGGCCAACAUCGGUUUCAGUGGUCGUUUAAAGGCCUUGGGAAUGUACCUAUCCUUCGGGUUAGACUUAUAGCUCAGGGUGUCAUGCGGCCUACCGGGACCGAGGAACGCGCUUCGGCUCGGAUGUUGGCGUAAUGGUUGUCAGCGA